AUGCACGCUGGCGGCGUGCCUAAUACAUGCAAGUCGAGCGAACGGACGAGAAGCUUGCUUCUCUGAUGUUAGCGGCGGACGGGUGAGUAACACGUGGAUAACCUACCUAUAAGACUGGGAUAACUUCGGGAAACCGGAGCUAAUACCGGAUAAUAUUUUGAACCGCAUGGUUCAAAAGUGAAAGACGGUCUUGCUGUCACUUAUAGAUGGAUCCGCGCUGCAUUAGCUAGUUGGUAAGGUAACGGCUUACCAAGGCAACGAUGCAUAGCCGACCUGAGAGGGUGAUCGGCCACACUGGAACUGAGACACGGUCCAGACUCCUACGGGAGGCAGCAGUAGGGAAUCUUCCGCAAUGGGCGAAAGCCUGACGGAGCAACGCCGCGUGAGUGAUGAAGGUCUUCGGAUCGUAAAACUCUGUUAUUAGGGAAGAACAUAUGUGUAAGUAACUGUGCACAUCUUGACGGUACCUAAUCAGAAAGCCACGGCUAACUACGCG
Molecule: ribosomal RNA, 496 nt
Filed under: uncultured bacterium
Lineage: Bacteria
Description: partial 16S ribosomal RNA
Rfam family: Bacterial small subunit ribosomal RNA
Source: RNAcentral